UUACUCUUUGUGCUCACCCCACAGGGUCAC
This 30-nucleotide non-coding RNA is filed under the name Mus musculus (house mouse). The record is from RNAcentral. Lineage: Eukaryota; Metazoa; Chordata; Mammalia; Rodentia; Muridae. RNAcentral also lists the same sequence under 1 other name.